This 270-nucleotide ribosomal RNA is filed under the name uncultured bacterium. RNAcentral's name for it is "partial 16S ribosomal RNA". It matches the Rfam family "Bacterial small subunit ribosomal RNA", at positions 30 to 298 of the family's 1533-position model. The record is from RNAcentral.
AUUGAACGCUGGCGGCAUGCCUUACACAUGCAAGUCGAACGGCAGCACGGGUGCUUGCACCUGGUGGCGAGUGGCGAACGGGUGAGUAAUACAUCGGAACAUGUCCUGUAGUGGGGGAUAGCCCGGCGAAAGCCGGAUUAAUACCGCAUACGAUCUACGGAUGAAAGCGGGGGACCUUCGGGCCUCGCGCUAUAGGGUUGGCCGAUGGCUGAUUAGCUAGUUGGUGGGGUAAAGGCCUACCAAGGCGACGAUCAGUAGCUGGUCUGAGAG